AUGAACGCUAGCGGCAGGCUUAACACAUGCAAGUCGGAGGGGCAACACGGGUAGACAAUACCUGGGUGGCCGACCGGCGCAAGGGUGCGUAACGCGUGAGCAACAUGCCCUAUACAGGGGGAUAAUCCAGGGAAACUUGGUCUAAUAUCCCAUAGUAUUUAGAGGUGGCAUCACCACUAAAUUAAAGCUUCGGUGGUAUAGGAUUGGCUCGCGUGACAUUAGCUGGAUGGUGGGGUAACGGCUCACCAUGGCGAUGAUGUCUAGGGGUUCUGAGAGGAAGACCCCCCACACUGGGACUGAGACACGGCCCAGACUCCUACGGGAGGCAGCAGUGAGGAAUAUUGGACAAUGGAUGGAAAUCUGAUCCAGCCAUGCCGCGUGCAGGAAGACGGCCCUAUGGGUUGUAAACUGCUUUUAUAUGGGAGCAAUAAGGUUUACGCGUAGACCGAUGAGAGUACCAUAUGAAUAAGCAUCGGCUAACUCCGUG
RNAcentral lists this ribosomal RNA (487 nucleotides) under uncultured bacterium. Its description in RNAcentral is "bacterial SSU rRNA". It matches the Rfam family "Bacterial small subunit ribosomal RNA", at positions 29 to 507 of the family's 1533-position model. The record is from RNAcentral.